This 259-nucleotide unclassified non-coding RNA is filed under the name uncultured fungus. Its description in RNAcentral is "sequence contains ITS1, 5.8S rRNA gene". The stretch from base 211 to 259 matches the Rfam family "5.8S ribosomal RNA", at positions 1 to 49 of the family's 154-position model. Lineage: Eukaryota; Fungi. The record is from RNAcentral.
UCUCCGUUGGUGAACCAGCGGAGGGAUCAUUACAGAGUUGCAAAACUCCCUAAACCAUUGUGAACACACCCCUAAACCGUUGCUUCGGCGGGUGCGUUAGGGCCCAACCCCCCCGGGGGACAGGGCCCAAGCGCGCUGUAGCCCGCCGGAGUUAAACCUGACUAUUGUUUAUUACUGGCUUCUUCUGAGUAACUUACUUAAAUAAGUCAAAACUUUCAACAACGGAUCUCUUGGUUCUGGCAUCGAUGAAGAACGCAGC